CGAUACGCGGAACCAAGAUCGAUAUAAGAUAUUGGACGCAAAAGCUAGCAUUAGAAAAUGUAGCUAAAGCUGCUAAGAAGCUAAAGUCGUUAACUCUUAUUAGCCAUAGAUAGCUUCCCUUGUUCUCAGUUACUCAUCAAAUGGCAUUCAGUUCAUAUCUUUAAGUUCGAUCAUUGACAAGGUUCAAAGAAAGGGUGGGCCACCUAUCGUUGUGAAAUAAGAGCACUCGAUCGAAGACAAUGUCAAUUGGCCAAGCCAUAAGCAAGGAAC
Molecule: long non-coding RNA, 270 nt
Filed under: Medicago truncatula (barrel medic)
Lineage: Eukaryota; Viridiplantae; Streptophyta; Magnoliopsida; Fabales; Fabaceae
Description: lncRNA gene50700
Source: RNAcentral